Molecule: ribosomal RNA, 223 nt
Filed under: uncultured bacterium
Lineage: Bacteria
Description: partial 16S ribosomal RNA
Rfam family: Bacterial small subunit ribosomal RNA
Source: RNAcentral
UAACGCGUGGGGAACCUACCCUAUACAGGGGGAUAACAGCUGGAAACGGCUGCUAAUACCGCAUAAGCGCACAGAAUCGCAUGAUUCAGUGCGAAAAGCCCUGGCAGUAUAGGAUGGUCCCGCGUCUGAUUAGCUGGUUGGUGAGGUAACGGCUCACCAAGGCGACGAUCAGUAGCCGGCUUGAGAGAGUGAACGGCCACAUUGGGACUGAGACACGGCCCAA